AACAAAAACAGUUUUUGUUGUUGUAUGUACAUCAAAGUUUAGAAGAUGCGUACCAGUAAUAACGUCCAAUUCAAGGACGUUACUAACAAGAGGACCGUUUCGAAACACUUGACCACCAAUUCCACCAUUCGACAACGUUCCUCCGACGGUUAUAUGCAAAUAAUCCGUCCAAGAAACCGGCGACACCCCUUUCUCCGCCGUCUUCUUAAGCACAUCCACCCAUAACGUCCCGGCCGCCACGUCAGCGUACUUCUUGUCUUUUGAAACCACCACGUCAGUGAUACACGUCAUGUUGACGAUUACUCCGCCGGAGACCGAGGCUUGGCCGUUUAAGGAGUGGCCUUGGCCACGAGCCGCUACUUGGAAUGUACUUUUUCCGUUUGCGGCGUAUUGGAGGAGACGAGAGAUAUCAGCGGUGGAGGAGGGGCAGAUUACGCCGCCGGGGGUCACGGUGGUUAUGUUUCCGAAGUCAUGAGAGGCUGCGGAGAUGAUGGAAGGAUCGGUAGAGAGGGUGAGGUUAAGGGAUUUAGAUAUUGGUUGAGGAAUGCUCUGAGUGUUCAGAGAACCGUAUAGGACUUAAUCGCAGCGGGUGGAGCUGGAUGCGUCUUUAAGAUAACGAAUUAGUUUCUGGUUCUUGUGAUCAGUUGUGUUUAAUGUAUAUUCAUGGGUGAUAGAUUUAAUCACUCAUAAUCUUAUGUUACAAUCCUUUGUGCUAUUUUAGUUAUGUUCAUUAGAGUAUUUAUGAUAAGAACUCACUAGCUGCGAGGAGGAGAUGGAACUUGCCAGAGAACCACUCAGAUUCAAGAGGAGGACAACAAAGAUGAAUGGACAUGGGUUUGGUACUUAUUUGGAAGAAUACUCCUACUAGGUUACUGUUUGAGAUGAUGGAUAAGCUUCUGAAUGAGAGAAUGACGAAGAGGAGUGGAUGUGUCAUGUAAACCAAAUACUGAGCUACUAAGAACUGAUUUCAAGAAUUUGUUUAGAUUUUGAUUUGGAAUCAUAGCAAAACCAUAUGUGAUACGUUUUGGAUCAGAAAAAAAAAACGAUCCAAGGCAGCCAAUUGUUGCGGGCAGGCCCGUCUGCCAUCUUUAGAUAAUUAGAUGUAACUAAA
RNAcentral lists this unclassified non-coding RNA (1111 nucleotides) under Arabidopsis thaliana (thale cress). The record is from RNAcentral. Lineage: Eukaryota; Viridiplantae; Streptophyta; Magnoliopsida; Brassicales; Brassicaceae.